Molecule: non-coding RNA, 3684 nt
Organism: Cyanistes caeruleus (blue tit)
Lineage: Eukaryota; Metazoa; Chordata; Aves; Passeriformes; Paridae
Source: RefSeq, a predicted model, not a curated record
ACCGCCCCUGGCAGCGACACGGCGGCCGAGCCUCCUCAGGGUCUGCUGACGGUCCCCCGGGAGGAGAACUUGAGAUGCUCUUACUGCGAACUCUCCUCUCUGCCAGCAUCGCGGCUACCUGGAGGAAGGCAACCUCGUGCUCUGUGGGGGCUCUCCGAGGAGCACCUGUAAAACUCCAAAUAAACCCCCGGUGCUGGGCAUCCCGAUCACCACACCCCAAACGCUGAGCGCUUCCCACCUCGUUAGUGGCAGCUCCCACAACAUUCACAGACACAUCACGAUGGGCAAACUGCUGCCGGGAGAGAGGCCUGACCUGGAGCUUAGGGGUGACAAGGUGACAAUGAACAUGUCAACUCCCAAUUCAUUUAAAUGAGUGCUUUGGCCUUAAAGGACAAGAGACUUCCCCAGCCAGCCCUGAAAAUAGCUGUGAAGCACCAACCUUCCAGAUGCGGUGUGACAUCCUUCCCUGGCGAGCAGUCCUUGCCACGCUAGCCCGAGCCCAUGGGACACACCGCUAGCUACAGAGAUAACGGAGCAAAGGCCUUGACCACUUUCCAUCCUGCCUUACACUGGAGCGUUUUGCCGUGCUCAACUCCUCACAGAAUAACGGGAUACACCCCCCAGUAACAACACGUCCCUAAUAUUAUACAUCACUUAAAUAUUCGUGGUUGGUUGUAGGACUGGGCAACUUCUGCAAGCAGCGUUCUUGACCCGAAAUAGUGUUCAGCUGAUGUGGGGCGAAAAAGGAAUUACUGUUUGCCUAUAAAGUAUUUAGCCCCAAGAUAAAUCCUUGGCUACAGCUACAAUUGGACAUCACAUGCUUCUCCACCUCUUGCCAAAAAUAACAAAGAAUUUCUUUAUUUACUUGCACAACUACACGUACUCUGCUAUUUUUUCUCACUACUUGUUCCAGUAUUUUCAACACGUGUCUGCUUGAUUUUAACCUUUAUUUAGGACUGAUCCUUGUAAUAAAGAUUGUUAGGAAGUAAAGUCAGAAUUUGAAUUAAUUAAUUGGAGAAGCCAGACUUCUUGUACAGAAGUGCUAAAACCUAACAUUGGAUUUACUACCACAACGCCACCAAUUCUCAGUCUUGUAAGUAAUGAGCCAUUUAAUUUAGGGCUGGGGAAGAAAUAGGUGGGUGUCAAUGGUAGUAAAUUAUAGCACUCAAGAGCUGCUCAUCACAUCUAUUGCUUGCUAAUUUUAGAAAUAUUAAUCAAGCUCCUAAAAAAAAAAGCAUCCUACAGAGUUAUUUCUACACAUUUUAUUAACAUAUAAAUAGACAGUAAAUGUUGAUAAACAUUCUUGUUGAUUACUUAAGCAUACAAACUCUAAAAUGCUUCAUCUGCAAACUUAAAUUGAUGUAUAUCAGCCCAAGUUGUGAUCCACUGACGAAUCUCAAUAUAAUUUUUCCAGCUGUUUAUUAGGAUCUAUUUCCAGGGACUUUCUUGUGGUUCCCCAUGUACUUUCUUACAGUUUGAUAACCAAAACAAUCCAAAUACAGUUGUACAUUUGAAUUACAUUAAUCCUGUACUAACAGGCAAAUUUAUGAACCCAGUGCUUCAAGGACACACAUGCACAAUUUUAGCCAACUUUCAGAAACAGAUUUUAAUUUCGAUUUAGAAAAAAAAGGGGUGUCUUUGGGCUCAUUAACCUCUCUCAUCAUACUGUUCUCUCACUGCAGUUUUGAGUUGGUCACAUUUGCUAAAUGACAGCACCUCCUGAAACAUCCCAGCACUGUCCUCAUGUUCCAGCUUUUGCUAAUUAGAUCAAGCUAAACUUCUACUCACCUUGCAACAGGAGUAUCACCAGCGUGUAAUCAAACUCUCAAAUCUCUUUGAAACUCCUUCAGUUGCUUCUGUGGAGCGCAGCAUCCCUCUGCAGAUCCAUUCUUUGUCCUUAUUUCCUCACAAGAUCUCUCAAGAAGCUCCUUACUUUGGAAGCUGUUUCAAUUGAAGGUUUCCUCAGCCUUGGGACUGAGGACUAGCCAGAGCUGGAGUGAUGAACCUCCCCUGUCAGUGACUCCUAAGGAUUAUUUUGGCCACAAAAUAGUUUUUAAGUGCCCACAAAGCACAGUAAAACAACAUUAGAUGUAUCAUCCAUUAGAUGUAUCAGCCAGCUUUAAACACUCUGAUGACCUCUUCUAUCAGAGCUUCUAUGUGUGUCUGAGAAACCCUCACAUGAUUUAUUUUUUUUUGGUCACCUGGAAAACAGCAAACUCUUCCCUGUCCUAUUUUUCUCUUGGCUGGUACCUUUGUGCUGGUAGGCAACAGAGGGGUUAACGUGGAAACUCCUGUUACACCUGUCCCUGUGCAUCUCCCAAGGGAUGCAUGAGGAGCCAUCCACUGUGGCUCUUCCAAAGAAGAAAAUCAAAUUAAAGCAUUCUUCUUCUUCAAUUCAUUCUUCUUGCAAGAAACCUCCUGCACCAUCCUGACAUUGCUGUUUCAAAUUCUGCCAGAAAGGCAGAAGAACUAAAUUAUAGAAUCAUUAAGACUGGAAAAGACUUCCAAGAUCAUUGAGUCCAACCUUUAAUAGAAGAGUGAUGUUUCAGUACAAGGUGACUAAUGACUUCUCUCUGAGCACAACAAAUGUUCCAGCUGACCUCACUUCUCAAAAUGCAUCAUUCCUUCAAAUAAACGUCAUUAAACACAAGCAGGCAGUGGAAUUACAGAAUUAAAACAUAAUCCUGCAUCACUCGAGUGACUCGGUGCUUAUUAGGAGGGAAACUAUUGCCAUCCAUAAAGGUUUCUGGGGCUGUGCUUUUGCAGCAUAUUCCAUAAUGAAUGAUUUGAUUAAUUGACUGCUGCUCAUCAUCAUUUUCCCAUCACCAAAGAGAAGUUUUAUUGCAGAGCAGGAUGUCUCAGGCUCCCCCACAGCACACAGGAGAGGAGCCUGCUCCAACUCUGGCAGGCACUGAAUCACAUCCAAGCCUAUUUUAGAAUUAAAUGGAAGAUGACCUCGUUACCUGGGUCUCUCCAACCUCACUGUGAAAGCACUUGAGGACUGAGCCAGGGCUUUGCUAUCAGCAGCUAAAACAAAACCCAAACUGCACAAAAAGCCCUUUUUGUUGCGUUGGUGUGAGGCCCUGUCACUAAUCUGUCUGCGGCACAAAUCCCUCCUGAGAAGCAGUUUUACCCAAGUCCAAGUGCACGUGGCUUGAAAAUGUCCACAUACACCCUCCCUGAACAGUUCCAUACACCAGCAACUCAUCCAUGUGUUUUCCUCCCUUUUAAAUGCAGAUUUUCUUAUUUCUCCCCUCCCCGUGUGAUAUCCUUAAUGAAAAAUUAAAAAUAUAUUUUGAACGCUUAAAUUACCAGAUUAGAUCUCCUCCUGGAAUGAACAGAAGAGGCACAUUAAUUACACGAGUUAUGAAAACAGAUCAAACCAUUUUAAAGAAAAAAACCUUUAUUUACCAGCAACGACCCAAGAUGGGUUCCAAAGGAAAAGGUGAUGUUGGGCAGUAGUUUUGGAUUGUUUUGACCCAGUGAAAUCCAGCUAGCAAUGAGACACUUGGCAGAAAGUAUCACAUGGCAGGAACAAAAAAAAACCCUCUGAGCAAUCUCUCCCCAGACAAUGCAGAACAAGAUCAGGUAACAUUUCUACUGAGCUAACUGCAGGUGCACUUGGUGCUGCUGCUGGUGCUUUGAUCUGUAGCAUUUUCACUUUAUGAGCAUUUUGAUGAUAGC